CCAGACUCCUACGGGAGGCAGCAGUGGGGGAUAUUGCACAAUGGGGGGAACCCUGAUGCAGCGACGCCGCGUGGGUGAAGGAGCGUUUCGGCGCGUAAAGCCCUAUCGGCAGGGAAGAAGGAGGACGGUACCUGACUAAGAAGCCCCGGCUAACUACGUGCCAGCAGCCGCGGUAAUACGUAGGGGGCAAGCGUUAUCCGGAUUUACUGGGUGUAAAGGGGGCGCAGACGGCAGCGCAAGCCAGGAGUGAAAGCCCGGGGCCCAACCCCGGGACUGCUCUUGGAACUGCGCGGCUGGAGUGCAGGAGGGGCAGGCGGAAUUCCUGGUGUAGCGGUGAAAUGCGUAGAUAUCAGGAGGAACACCGGUGGCGAAGGCGGCCUGCUGGACUGCGACUGACGUUGAGGCCCGAAAGCGUGGGGAGCAAACAGGAUUAGAUACCCCAGUA
Molecule: ribosomal RNA, 445 nt
Filed under: uncultured bacterium
Lineage: Bacteria
Description: bacterial SSU rRNA
Rfam family: Bacterial small subunit ribosomal RNA
Source: RNAcentral